This 73-nucleotide transfer RNA is filed under the name Cordylochernes scorpioides. RNAcentral's name for it is "tRNA-Thr". It matches the Rfam family "tRNA". From Rfam's summary of the family: Transfer RNA (tRNA) molecules are approximately 80 nucleotides in length. Their secondary structure includes four short double-helical elements and three loops (D, anti-codon, and T loops). The record is from RNAcentral. Lineage: Eukaryota; Metazoa; Arthropoda; Arachnida; Pseudoscorpiones; Chernetidae.
UCCAGGGUAGCCUAGUGGACAUGGCAUCUGUCCGGUAAGCAGAACACUGUGGGUUCGAUUCCCAUCCCUGGAC